RNAcentral lists this ribosomal RNA (235 nucleotides) under uncultured bacterium. RNAcentral describes it as "partial 16S ribosomal RNA". It matches the Rfam family "Bacterial small subunit ribosomal RNA", at positions 15 to 229 of the family's 1533-position model. The record is from RNAcentral.
GAUCCUGGCUCAGGAUGAACGCUGGCGGCGUGCCUAACACAUGCAAGUCGAACGGAGUUCUUAAGGAAUGCGACUUCGGUCAAAUGACUUUUGAACUUAGUGGCGGACGGGUGAGUAACGCGUGAGCAACCUGCCUUUCAGAGGGGGAUAACAUUUGGAAACAGAUGCUAAUACCGCAUAAGAUUACAGUACCGCAUGAUACAGUGAUCAAAGGAGCAAUCCGCUGAAAGAUGGG